CCUACGGGGGGCAGCAGUGGGGAAUAUUGCACAAUGGGGGAAACCCUGAUGCAGCGACGCCGCGUGAGUGAAGAAGUAUUUCGGUACGUAAAGCUCUAUCAGCAGGGAAGAAAGAAAUGACGGCACCUGACUAAGAAGCACCGGCUAACUACGUGCCAGCAGCCGCGGUAAUACGUAGGGGGCAAGCGUUAUCCGGAUUUACUGGGUGUAACGGGAGCGUAGACGGCGAUGCAAGUCUGAAGUGAAAGGCGGGGGCCCAACCCCCGGACUGCUUUGGAAACUGUAUGGCUGGAGUGCAGGAGAGGUAAGUGGAAUUCCUAGUGUAGCGGUGAAAUGCGUAGAUAUUAGGAGGAACACCAGUGGCGAAGGCGGCUUACUGGACUGUAACUGACGUUGAGGCUCGAAAGCGUGGGGAGCAAACAGGAUUAGAUACCCGAGUAGUC
Molecule: ribosomal RNA, 443 nt
Filed under: uncultured bacterium
Lineage: Bacteria
Description: partial 16S ribosomal RNA
Rfam family: Bacterial small subunit ribosomal RNA
Source: RNAcentral